CUUUUUGCCAUUUCUUGGGCCACUCCUGUGGCAUAUGGAGGUUCCCAGGCUAGGGGUCGAAUCGGAGCUGUAGCCACCGGCCUACGCCAGAGCCAUAGCAAUGCAGGAUCCGAGGCACCACAGCUCACGGCAACACUGAGCAAGGGCAGGGAUCAAACCCGCAACCUCAUGAUUCCUAGUCAGAUUCGUUAACCACUGCGCCACGAUGGGAACUCCUAUUUUUUUUUUUUAAUUUUUAAAAUUAUAGUUGAUUUACGAUGUUCUGUCAUUUUCUGCCAUACAGCAAAGUGACCCGGUUAUACGUAUAUGUAUAAAUACACAUUCUUUUUCUUACAUUAUCUCCUACCAUAUUCUAUCACAAGUGAUUGAAUAGAGUUCCCUGUGCUAUACAGCAGGACUUCAUUGCAGUCAUAUAUCAUAUAUACAUUCUUUUUCUCACGUUAUCCUCCACCAUGUUCCAUCUCAAGUGACUAGAUAUAGUUCCCUGUGCUAUACAGCAGGAACUCAUGGCUUAUCUACCGACCAAUGCAUCUGUUCCCCAGACUCCCAGUCCCUUCCACUCCCUCCCCCCGCCCUUGGCAACCACAAGUCUGUUCUCCAAGUCCACGAGUUUCUUUUCUGUAGAAAGUUUCAUUUGUGUCAUAUAUUAGAUUCCAGAUAUAUGUGAUAUUAUGUAGUAUUCAUCUUUCUCUUUCUGACUUACUUCCCUUAGUAUGAGAGUCUCUCCAUCCAUGUUGCUGCAAAUGGCAUUACUUUGUUAUUUUUUAUGGCUGAGUAUAUUCCUUUGUGUAUAUAUAUCACAUCGUCUUCAUUCAUUCAUCUGUUAAUGGACAUUUAGGUUGUUUCCAUGUCUUGGCUAUUGUGAAGAGUGCUGCAGUGAACAUAGGGGUGCAUGCGUCUUUUUGAAUGAAAGUUUUGUCUGGAUGCCCAGGAGUGAGAUUGCUGAAUCAUGUGCUAGUUCUAUAUUUAGUUUUCUGAGGAAACUCCAUGCCGUUUUCCACCUAACAUUUUACCAAUGGGGACACUCAAGUCCAGAGGGGGAGAUGCCGACCCAGCUACGUUGAGGCCCACAUAUGCCACAGUUCCCAGGGUCCCCAUGUGACCCGGGCAAUAGCAAUGACAAAACCAUGACCAGGCACCCACAUGCUUGCCCUAUAUAUGGGCUGGGCAUGUAUUACCUCAUUUAAUCUUCACAAGCAGUUUGUGAGGUAGGUACUAUUAGAAACCAAGCACAGAGAGGUUAGACAACUGCCCAGGGUCACACAGCCAGAGCAAACAUGGUCAGGAUUGGAGCCUAGGAGUGUUGGGAUCCAAAGCCUGCAUUCUUUCCAUCACCUGCCCCACCUCCCAUUCGAAACACAGCAACCUCGUUUUCCAGAACAAACCCAAGGAUCCUUCCAGAAUCUUCAUCAUCAUUGCUCCGAGGGUCAUAAUCACUGCACUCCUGUUGUUUGGGGACUUUCUGGUCCUUCUGAGGAUCAGCCACCCUCAUGUGGCCUUGGUCAAGCACUGUGGCCUCGCUGAGCCUCAAGUCCCCCACUGAAAACUGAUGCCAAGGCCACUGCACUGCAGAUCGGGCUCAUGGAAUCAGAUCGCACAGCAUGGUCCUGCCCCCGGCAGAGGCCUGGCCCGCAUCUGUCCCCUCUUUCCAGCCCUCCUUCUCCUUGGUAGGCAAUUCUGGUUCUGGUUCUGGGGUGACGGGGUGGGUUUCUUUCCACGGCCAGGGUUCGGGAGGCUUUGCAUAUUUAUGUGGGCGGCCAUGGCGUUUUCUCCUCGACAAAGAAUCCUCACUGAACAACCCUCUCCACCCGCCUCCAGGAUGCUCGGAGCCAGCUCAAUGAGGCGCUUGUGGCAGUGCCAGCCGCAUUGUGUAUUGUCCCAGGUCAGACGCAGUCACUGAGGGUCCGAGAUCAAGGUCACGCCUGGGGCGGGCAGUGUGUGCAAAGUGCAGGCUGGCUCUGCCGCAGCCUCUACCACGGCCUCCACCACGGCCUCCGCCGCAGCCUCGUGACCCCAUGGAUUGGUCCCAGGCCCUGGGCCGUGGGGACUUCCACAAAGAAAGGCCCCUUUCCACCCCUAAUUGAGGCACCCACGGCUGGCUGGCUGCUCUCAGACCUUAGAGAGCAGCCCUGCCCGGGCUCAGGCAAAACCCCACAUUCCUUACCGGAGCCUUGAACUGAAAUGACCCUGGAGCCCAAAGCGGAAUGAGCCCCCAGCUGAGGCCAAAUGUUCAUUUUUCACUGAACUGGAACAGCGCUUGUGCGCACUCCAGAGCCAUUCACUCGGAACAUCCCUGUAUUUGUUUAUCCAUCAAAUAAACACUUACUGGCCACUGUCCUGUGGGUCAGACACCGUUCAAGGCACUGCGGAUACAUAAGGGCAGAAUAGGCAUGACGUCUGCCUCAAGCCGUCAUAGUAGCCUAAACAGACAGAUGGCACAGUUCAAGACGUGGUGGCCACAUCCACACUCAGUGCAGGGGUAGCCCUGGUACCUGGAGGGACUCGGUGUGUUCCAUGGAGAAAAGCAGGUGGAGGAUGCUGGGAGAAAGAAACAGACAGAGGGAGGUGGUACCCUCACCGCCGUGACCAGGGGCUAGAGGAACAGAAAGCAGAGGCCCACUCCCAGUCCUGGCAAUCUCAGUCUCAAGCAAACCUGCACUUCACCUCCCUGAACUGCAAGAAACCACAUAAUAUAAGAAUAAUA
RNAcentral lists this long non-coding RNA (2704 nucleotides) under Sus scrofa (pig). Its description in RNAcentral is "lncRNA (ENSSSCG00040066403.1)". The record is from RNAcentral. Lineage: Eukaryota; Metazoa; Chordata; Mammalia; Artiodactyla; Suidae.